This 253-nucleotide ribosomal RNA is filed under the name uncultured bacterium. RNAcentral's name for it is "partial 16S ribosomal RNA". It matches the Rfam family "Bacterial small subunit ribosomal RNA", at positions 524 to 776 of the family's 1533-position model. The record is from RNAcentral.
UACAGAGGGUGCAAGCGUUGUCCGGAAUCACUGGGCGUAAAGGGCGCGUAGGCGGCCUGAUAAGUCGGGGGUGAAAUCCUGCGGCUUAACCGCAGGGCUGCCUUCUAAACUGUCGAGCUUGAGCACGGUAGAGGCAGAUGGAAUUCCCGGUGUAGCGGUGGAAUGCGUAGAGAUCGGGAAGAACAUCAGUGGCGAAGGCGGUCUGCUGGGCCGUUGCUGACGCUGAGGCGCGACAGCGUGGGGAGCAAACAGG